GUCCGCAUCCGCCGUUAAACAAUCAACUGAAGAAGAAGAAGAAGAAGAAGAAGAAGAAGAAAGCCGACGAUAGCUAGCCUGUAGCUAGCAGCAUACUCCACGCAUUGACAUAUAUAAAAGACUCCACAUUGAAGUCAGUGGUAGAUCCUAGACCGGGUUUGGUGGCUAGCAGCAUACAAAAUGUCGCUCUCAGUUGUCCAGGCUUGCUGUAAAACGGAACCAGGGUUCAAGUGGAACAAUCCAAAUUUAAGAUGCAACUCCGCACAGAAUACAUUAGAAGAUAUGGGCUGACCUGACUCAUCAUGGAGGAUCGCCCAUCCUGAAACACACCAUGUGGCAGAGAUGCCUUGUCUGAAGAUGGGAUUGUUAAUCCUUAAGUGGCCAAGAGUAGAAACACAGAGCAUUUGUCAAAAUAUCUAAGUGCAGUAGUCCAUGGCCAUCACACGUGGCCCAAAGAAACAUGGCUGCUACAACUGACCUCCAUACCGCGAUGGCCUGAGGAUGAGCAACCGGUGGCUGCUUCUAAAGCAGGAACACAAGAACAAUAGUCAACUCCUUCACUCAUGCUCCAUGAGGGAAAAGGGUGUCUUGUGCUAAAAGCUAGCACCAUCUGCCCUUGAAUAAUUGUUUAUACUUGAAGAUGUACCUCACUCUAGUGUUUAAAUAAACUUUUCAUUGUUUAAAAAAAAA
This is a long non-coding RNA of Perca flavescens (yellow perch), 690 nucleotides long. RefSeq lists it as uncharacterized. NCBI's taxonomy places the organism in Eukaryota, Metazoa, Chordata, Actinopteri, Perciformes, Percidae. The transcript is spliced from 6 exons. The record is from RefSeq and is a predicted model, not a curated record.